GAUGAAGAACAUAGCGAAAUGCGAUAAGUAGUGUGAAUUGCAGAAUUCAGUGAAUCAUCGAAUCUUUGAACGCACAUUGCGCCCUUUGGUAUUCCAAAGGGCAUGCCUGUUCGAGCGUCAUUUGUACCCUCAAGCUUUGCUUGGUGUUGGGCGUCUUGUCUCUAGCUUUGCUGGAGACUCGCCUUAAAGUAAUUGGCAGCCGGCCUACUGGUUUCGGAGCGCAGCACAAGUCGCACUCUCUAUCAGCAAAGGUCUAGCAUCCACUAAGCCUUUUUUUCAACUUUUGACCUCGGAUCAGGUAGGGAUACCCGCUGAACUUAAGCAUAUCAAUAAGCGGAGGA
Molecule: unclassified non-coding RNA, 341 nt
Filed under: soil metagenome
Description: partial contains 5.8S ribosomal RNA, internal transcribed spacer 2, and large subunit ribosomal RNA
Rfam family: 5.8S ribosomal RNA (bases 1-120)
Source: RNAcentral